RNAcentral lists this ribosomal RNA (261 nucleotides) under uncultured bacterium. Its description in RNAcentral is "partial 16S ribosomal RNA". It matches the Rfam family "Bacterial small subunit ribosomal RNA", at positions 95 to 353 of the family's 1533-position model. The record is from RNAcentral.
CCGGCGCACGGGUGAGUAACACGUAUCCAACCUGCCGUCUACUCUUGGACAGCCUUCUGAAAGGAAGAUUAAUACAAGAUGGCAUCAUGAGUCCGCAUGUUCACAUGAUUAAAGGUAUUCCGGUAGACGAUGGGGAUGCGUUCCAUUAGAUAGUAGGCGGGGUAACGGCCCACCUAGUCUUCGAUGGAUAGGGGUUCUGAGAGGAAGGUCCCCCACAUUGGAACUGAGACACGGUCCAAACUCCUACGGGGAGGCAGCAUG